Molecule: non-coding RNA, 278 nt
Organism: Nothobranchius furzeri (turquoise killifish)
Lineage: Eukaryota; Metazoa; Chordata; Actinopteri; Cyprinodontiformes; Nothobranchiidae
Source: RefSeq, a predicted model, not a curated record
GAGGAAAGCCUUUCAACCCUGUUCUAGGGGAGACCUACGAAUGCGACCGGCCAGACAGAGGCUUUCGCUUCAUUGCUGAGCAGGUCAGCCAUCACCCACCUAUUUCAGCUUGUCACGCAGAGUCUAAAAACUUUGUCUUCAGGCAAGAUGUGAGGUGUAAGAACAAGUUCUGGGGGAAGUCCAUGGAGAUUGUUCCUGUCUGCACCACUCAUGUUACUGUGCCCAGGUAAGUUUAUUAGGCCCGAGCAGUGAAGCUGCGAAGGCCUAUUGUAUCUGCU